CAUGUAAAAUACAUAUAAGAACCAAGUUUAUUACAGAGUUGGUGUGCAAGAAGAGCUGGAGUAGACACUUAAUUCCUAUCAUAACUUACUGAUUGAAAAUUGUACAUCAGAUUUAUUAUUUCUUGAUUUAAAGAUUAUGGAGUAAUGCACCCAUGUAAAUAUUUUAACGUAUAAUUAGGAUUUGUUUCUAAAAGGCAAUAGUUUGUCAUAAAAAUAUGUUCAUUGAGAGAUAUUCUAACAGCUGGUUUUGAGUAGGUGUUUUAAGAGAGCAUAAUUGAACACAAUAUAUUUCCUUUAAAUACUAAAGGAACAUGGAUAUU
This 320-nucleotide long non-coding RNA is filed under the name Bos taurus (domestic cattle). RNAcentral describes it as "long non-coding RNA NONBTAT001474". The record is from RNAcentral. Lineage: Eukaryota; Metazoa; Chordata; Mammalia; Artiodactyla; Bovidae.